CAUAUAUCUAGUUUAUACAUAGUUGUUUAUACAUUGUCUGCCCCAGUAGAAGGGGAUUGUGAACUCCUUAAAAACAGGGCUGUUUUCUUUGGAUUUUGUUUUUGUUUUUGUUUUUGUCUUUCUGUUGAACAACCAUCAUUUAGCACAGUCCCUGGCACAUAGUAGUUGCUCAGCAAAUUCUAAUUGAUUCACUAUUUUUGCCUCUUUUGUUUCCCCAGUGCUUAGCAUAGUGUCUUGCACACAGUUGGUACUUAAUGCAUGCAUAUUUGCUCCUGAUUAAUUGAAUGAUUACUCCCAGAGCUAACAACAAGGGACAUAUUUCAGGGCCUUGUAUCAGAUGAAGAUUCAAGGGAAGAUAAUAAAUAGACUCAGGAACAGAGACUAGAAGAUGGGCAGGUACAAGUGGUAGCACUGGCUUGGAGCAGCCACAGAGACUAAGGACCUACUGACCAGUAUGACCAACUCGAUGACCAAGCUCCAAGCUCUUUUCCUAUGCAAAUGGGAGUAGUUGAGGAGCUAGAGUGAGAUUGGAGAAAUUCCAACCAAUCAGUUCCAAAACCAAUUAGUAUGGAUGACUCUGGAUGGAUCCUGUUAUGAGUUCACCCCUUCAGGUGAUUGAAUUUAGGAGGGAGAUUCCUCCCCUUCUUUAGUCAGUUGGAUAUUUGAUUAGCGAUCUUCCCAGGGGAUGAGGGAAAGGAGAGUAAUGAACUUGCUCUGUUUGGCCAGACCAUUUUGAGACCAGAGUACAUUUCUAAUAUGAUGUCUUCAAAAUAUCUAGGUUUAAAGGGGAGGCAUUUUUAGGAUUAGAUCCUUGAUAUUCCUAAAGCCAUUCUAACAGAUUUCUCUUUUAUAACACAGGAAGUAAUAUUUUUGUUUUCAAUUUAUUUUAGAUUACAUUACUAAGAAAGAGUAUAACCUAAAUUUGUAUCUAUUCCAAAGAUUUCAACUCGUACAUUCUUAUAAAUGUAAGGUUCAGAAGUGGGAUUAAAACUUGCAUCCCUUGUCCUUUUCCUUCCAGGAGAUACUUUUCCUUCCAGGAGAUUCGAUUGGCAAGACUUCCAGGAUUCCUCAUGACUCCAGCUUGGAGAAAAUUGUGAUGGCUUCAAGAAGAACCUCUAAUGGUCCUAUCCACCAAGUGUUCAGUGGUCACGCUGUGCUGGAUCCUAAGGAAACAGAAAAUUUAGCUCAUCGGAAAACACAUUAAAUAAACAAAGAUAAAAACAAAAUUGCUGCUGCCUUCUAGAAUUGCAUUAAAAAGCAAUCAAUAUGGUCAAGGGGCUGAAGGUCCACUUUGUGAAGCUAGGCUAUACCUAAAGCUUAAGACCC
RNAcentral lists this long non-coding RNA (1326 nucleotides) under Sarcophilus harrisii (Tasmanian devil). Its description in RNAcentral is "lncRNA (ENSSHAG00000031006.1)". Lineage: Eukaryota; Metazoa; Chordata; Mammalia; Dasyuromorphia; Dasyuridae. The record is from RNAcentral.